UCCGGUUGAUCCUGCCGGAGGUUAUUGCUAUCCGGAUUCGACUAAGCCAUGCAAGUCUUGGUGUUCAAUUCAUUGGACACUAGGGCAGAAAGCUCAGUAACAUGUAGUUAAUAUGCCCUCAAGUCAGGGAUAAUUUCGGGAAACUGAAGCUAAUACCUGAUAGAUAAGAAUUACUGGAAUGUUUUCUUUUCUAAAGCUUUUGCGCUUGAGGAUUGGACUGCACCGGAUUAGGUUGUUGUUAGGGUAACGUCCUGGCAAGCCGAUAAUCCGUACGAGCCUUGAGAGAGGAAGCUCGGAGAUGGAUUCUGAGACAAGAAUCCAGGCCCUACGGGGCGCAGCAGGCGCGAAAAUUUCCCAAUGCACGCAAGUGUGAGGAAGGGAUCUGGAGUGCAUUCUCUUAUAUAGGGGAUGCUUUUGUGGAGUGUAAACAGCUCCAAGAAUAAGUGGUGGGUAAGACGGGUGCCAGCCGCCGCGGUAAUACCCGCGCCACGAGUGAUAACCACGAUUAUUGGGCUUAAAGCGUUCGUAGCCGGUCCAAAAAGUCUUUAGUGAAAUCCCGUAGCUAACUGCGGGGCUUGCUAGAGAAACUGUUGGACUUGGGACCGGGAGAGGUCUGGGGUACUCAAGGGGUAGGGGUAAAAUCCUGUAAUCCUUUGGGGACCACCUGUGGCGAAGGCGCCAGACCAGAACGGAUCCGACGGUGAGGGACGAAAGCUAGGGGAGCAAAGGGGAUUAGAUACCCCCGUAGUCCUAGCUGUAAACGAUGCCCACUAGACAUUGGCAAUCUUACGUGGGUUGUCAGUGCCGUAGCGAAAGCGUUAAGUGGGCCGCCUGGGGAGUACGGUCGCAAGGCUGAAACUUAAGGGAAUUGGCGGGGGAGCACACAAGGGGUGGAGGCUGCGGUUUAAUUGGAUUCAACGCCGGGAACCUUACCAGAGGCGACAGCAGAGUGAAGGUCCGCUUGAAGAGCGUACCAGACAAGCUGAGAAGUGGUGCAUGGCCGUCGUCAGUUCGUGUCGUGAGAUGUCCUGUUAAGUCAGGUAACGAACAAGACCCGCGCUUCAUGUUGCUAUCGUAUAUUUCGGUAUGCGAGCACUCAUGAGGGACCGCUGUCGAUAAGGCAGAGGAAGGUGCGGUCGACGGCAGGUCAGUAUGCUCUGAAUCCUCUGGGUUACACGCGGCCUACAAUGACCGGGACAAUGAGAUGCGACACCGAAAGGUGAAGCCAAUCUCGAAACCCGGCCUCAGUUCAGAUCGAGGGCUGCAACUCGCCCUCGUGAAGCCGAAAUCCCUAGUAGUCGCUGGUUAGCAUCUAGCGGCGAAUACGUUCCUGCUCCUUGCACACACUGCCCGUCAAGCCAUCUGAGUGGAUCUUUGAUGAGGCUUUCUCAAUUUGUGAGAGUCGAGUCAGAGUUCUGCAAGGAGGGCUAAGUCGUAACAAGGUA
This 1445-nucleotide ribosomal RNA is filed under the name metagenome. RNAcentral describes it as "bacterial SSU rRNA". It matches the Rfam family "Archaeal small subunit ribosomal RNA". The record is from RNAcentral.